UACGUAGGUCCCGAGCGUUGUCCGGAUUUAUUCGGUUUAAAGGGUGCGUAGGCGGACUGUCAAGUCAGCGGUAAAAUUGAGAGGCUCAACCUCUUCCCGCCGUUGAAACUGGUGGUCUUGAGUGGAUGAGAAGUACGCGGAAUGCGUGGUGUAGCGGUGAAAUGCAUAGAUAUCACGCAGAACUCCGAUUGCGAAGGCAGCGUACCGGCAUCCAACUGACGCUGAGGCACGAAAGCGUGGGGAUCAAACAGG
RNAcentral lists this ribosomal RNA (252 nucleotides) under uncultured bacterium. RNAcentral's name for it is "partial 16S ribosomal RNA". It matches the Rfam family "Bacterial small subunit ribosomal RNA", at positions 524 to 776 of the family's 1533-position model. The record is from RNAcentral.